ACAACUUUCAGCAAUGGAUCUCUUGGCUCUCGCAUCGAUGAAGAACGCAGCGAAUUGCGAUAUGUAAUGUGAAUUGCAGAUCUACAGUGAAUCAUCGAAUCUUUGAACGCACAUUGCGCUCCUCGGUGUUCCGAGGAGCAUGCCUGUUUGAGUGUCAGUUAA
RNAcentral lists this ribosomal RNA (162 nucleotides) under Gomphidius subroseus. RNAcentral's name for it is "5.8S ribosomal RNA". It matches the Rfam family "5.8S ribosomal RNA". Rfam says of the family: 5.8S ribosomal RNA (5.8S rRNA) is a component of the large subunit of the eukaryotic ribosome. It is transcribed by RNA polymerase I as part of the 45S precursor that also contains 18S and 28S rRNA. Functionally, it is thought that 5.8S rRNA may be involved in ribosome translocation. Lineage: Eukaryota; Fungi; Basidiomycota; Agaricomycetes; Boletales; Gomphidiaceae. The record is from RNAcentral.